AAAUUCAUUUCCAUCUACCAAUCAAUGUAUCAAAUAAUGGGUAAUACAAUUGGCUGACCUAUGGGUAAAAGGGGUAAAAGUAAAUUAAAAUAAGCAAAUGACUCAUAAAAACCUAAGGACUCCCUAAUAAUACCGUCGUAAAGGAUAAAUUUAGAGUUCAAAUAUUAAUUUGUUUAUAAUAAAAGCAUAAUCCGACUCUAGAACAACUCCAGAAAAGCCCUUAUCAAGGGCCUUCUGAAUGGCGCAUGACAAAGCAAAAGCCUCAAAAGAUGGGGCAUCAAAGGUUUCAGCAGUUGUACUACUGAAGCCGACAAGCACCAUUCCCUCAUGGUCACAAAAAAUAGCACCAGAAGUAGUAAUUCU
RNAcentral lists this long non-coding RNA (363 nucleotides) under Gossypium barbadense (sea-island cotton). Its description in RNAcentral is "long non-coding RNA (GBAR_LNC001882)". The record is from RNAcentral. Lineage: Eukaryota; Viridiplantae; Streptophyta; Magnoliopsida; Malvales; Malvaceae.